This 588-nucleotide ribosomal RNA is filed under the name Microbotryum silenes-inflatae. RNAcentral's name for it is "eukaryotic LSU rRNA". It matches the Rfam family "Eukaryotic large subunit ribosomal RNA", at positions 63 to 648 of the family's 3401-position model. The record is from RNAcentral. Lineage: Eukaryota; Fungi; Basidiomycota; Microbotryomycetes; Microbotryales; Microbotryaceae.
AACUAACAAGGAUUCCCCUAGUAACGGCGAGUGAAGCGGGAAAAGCUCAAAUUUGUAAUCUGGCGCCUUUGGCGUCCGAGUUGUAAUCUCGAGAAGUAUUUUCCGCGCUGGACCGCACAUAAGUCUGUUGGAAUACAGCGUCAUAGUGGUGAGAACCCCGUAUAGGGUGCGGAUGCCCAGUGCUUUGUGAUAUACUUUCGAAGAGUCGAGUUGUUUGGGAAUGCAGCUCAAAUUGGGUGGUAAAUUCCAUCUAAAGCUAAAUAUUGGCGAGAGACCGAUAGCGAACAAGUACCGUGAGGGAAAGAUGAAAAGCACUUUGGAAAGAGAGUUAACAGUACGUGAAAUUGUUGGAAGGGAAACGCUUGAAGUCAGACUUGCAUUUUGGAGUUCAGCCGCAAGGUGUAUUCUUCAAUUCGCAGGCCAGCAUCAGUUUUGGGGGGUGGAAAAUCGUGGUUUGAAGGUAGCAGUCUCGGCUGUGUUAUAGCUUUCCACUGGAUUCACUUUUCGGGACUGAGGAACGCAGUACGCUUUUUGCAAGAUUCUCGGAUCUUUCGUACUUAGGAUGCUGGUGGAAUGGCUUUAAACGAC